AGGUGGUCGGCGGCCUGGACGAGACCGCGGCCCGGUUCGAGGCCGGGCGGUGCCUGUCCUGCGGGAACUGCUUCGAAUGUGACGGCUGCCUG
RNAcentral lists this transfer RNA (92 nucleotides) under Actinoplanes octamycinicus. RNAcentral's name for it is "tRNA-Ser". The record is from RNAcentral. Lineage: Bacteria; Bacillati; Actinomycetota; Actinomycetes; Micromonosporales; Micromonosporaceae.